GCCUUUUGUUAGUUAAAGGUUUGUUCUGCUCAGUGGUUUUAAACAGCCGCGGUAAUUUGACCGUGCAAAGGUAGCAUAAUCAUUUGCCUUGUAAUUGGGGGCUGGCAUGAAGGAAUAAACAAGAGUUUGACUUUAUUUUCAAGAAAAUAAUAAUUUUCUUUUUUAGUGAAGAAGCUAAAAUAUAAAAAGGGACAAGAAGACCCUUUUGAGCUUUACUAGUUUUCUUUUUGUAUGUUGCUUGUUUGGUUGGGGCGACCGAGGAAGGUCUUCCUCUAUUAUAUUGAUCCGCAGUUUGCGAUUAAAAGACUAAGUUACCAUAGGGAUAACAGCGUAAUCUUUUUUGAGAGUUCUUAUUGAAAAAAUGGAUUGCGACCUCGAUGU
Molecule: ribosomal RNA, 381 nt
Filed under: Ototyphlonemertes fila
Lineage: Eukaryota; Metazoa; Nemertea; Enopla; Monostilifera; Ototyphlonemertidae
Description: partial 16S ribosomal RNA
Rfam family: Archaeal large subunit ribosomal RNA
Source: RNAcentral